GAUUAACGCUGGCGGCGUGCCUAACACAUGCAAGUCGAGCGGCAGCGAGUUUUACACUGAAUUCUGGAAGCUUCUGGUUUGAAGAGAAGAUUUAUUCAAGAAUUUUGUGUAAAAUGUCGGCGAGCGGCGGACGGCUGAGUAACGCGUGGGAACGUACCCCAAAGUGAGGGAUAACGCAUCGAAAGGUGUGCUAAUACCGCAUAUGGUCUUCGGAUUAAAGCCUUCGGGCGCUUUGGGAACGGCCUGCGUAAGAUUAGAUAGUUGGUGGGGUAAUGGCCUACCAAGUCGACGAUCUUUAACUGGUUUGAGAGGAUGAUCAGUCAGACUGGAACUGAGACACGGUCCAGACUCCUACGGGAGGCAGCAGUGAGGAAUCUUCCACAAUGGGCGAAAGCCUGAUGGAGCAACGCCGCGUGCAGGAUGAAGGCCUUCGGGUUGUAAACUGCUUUUAUAAGUGAGGAUUAUGACAGUAACUUAUGAAUAAGGAUCGGCUAACUACGUGCCAGCAGCCGCGGUCAUACGUAGGAUCCGAGCGUUAUCCGGAGUGACUGGGCGUAAAGAGUUGCGUAGGUGGUUCGAUAAGCGAAUAGUGAAAUCUGGUGGCUCAACCAUUCAGACUAUUAUUCGAACUGUUGAACUCGAGAGCAGAAGAGGUAGCUGGAAUUUCUAGUGUAGGAGUGAAAUCCGUAGAUAUUAGAAGGAACACCGAUGGCGUAGGCAGGCUACUGGGCUGUUUCUGACACUGAGGCACGAAAGCGUGGGGAGCGAACCGGAUUAGAUACCCGGGUAGUCCACGCCGUAAACGAUGGAUACUAGCUGUUUGGGGUAUCGACCCCCUGAGUAGCGAAGCUAACGCGUUAAGUAUCCCGCCUGUGGAGUACGAUCGCAAGAUUAAAACAUAAAGGAAUUGACGGGGACCCGCACAAGCGGUGGAUCAUGUUCUUUAAUUCGAUGAUAACCGAUAAACCUUACCAGGUCUUGACAUCCUUGGAAUCUUUCAGAAAUGAGAGAGUGCUUUUUAAGAGCCAAGUGACAGGUGAUGCAUGGCCGUCGUCAGCUCGUGUCGUGAGAUGUUUGGUUAAGUCCAUCAACGAGCGCAACCCUUGUCAGUAGUUGUAUUUUUCUACUGAGACUGCCCCGGCAACGGGGAGGAAGGAGGGGAUGACGUCAGGUCAGUAUUUCCCUUACGUCCUGGGCUAGAAACGUGAUACAAUGGCUAGUACAAUGCGCAGCGAAGCCGCGAGGUGAAGCAAAUCGCAUCAAAGCUAGUCCCAGUUCGGAUUGUAGGCUGAAACUCGCCUGCAUGAAGUCGGAAUCGCUAGUAAUCGCAGAUCAGCAUGCUGCGGUGAAUACGUUCCCGGGUCU
This 1365-nucleotide ribosomal RNA is filed under the name uncultured bacterium. RNAcentral's name for it is "bacterial SSU rRNA". It matches the Rfam family "Bacterial small subunit ribosomal RNA", at positions 28 to 1381 of the family's 1533-position model. The record is from RNAcentral.